UUUUUUUUUUUUUUUUUUUUUUUUUUUUUGGAGACACAGUUUCACUCUGUCGCCCAGGCCAGAGUGCAGUGGUGUGAUCUCGGGUCACUGCAACCUCCGCCUCCUGGGUUCAAGAGAUUCUCCUGCCUCAGCCUCUGGAGUAGCUGGAAUUACAGGCAUGAGCCACCACACACCCGGCUAAUUUUGUAUUUUUCGUAGAGACAGGGUUUCGCCAUGUUGGCCAGACUGGUCUCGAACUCCUGACCUCAGGUGAUCAACCUGCCUCGGUCUCCAAAAGUGCUGGGAUUUCAGGCAUGAGCCACAGCGCCCAGCCCCGACAUAUCUCUUAAGUACACAUCAGUUUCAGGCAUUCAGGGAUGUUCAGACUCCCCCACUUUCAAGCCCAGGCUCCAUGCUGCUGCUAACGUGAUCUUCAAACCCUGACUGGCCCUCACUGGCCCUUUGCCUAAAAUCUUCAAGUGGUUCCCCAUCAUCUUCAGGAUGAAGUCCAAACUCCCAAGCAUGAUACUCAAGAUGCUAUAACCGGCCCCUCCUACCUGACUUCUUGCCCUUCCCCAAACGUGUCAUCCUCCCUCAUCUUCCUUCAAAAUAUAGAAGCCAGGCAAUAUUUCAGGUGCUUGGCCCACACGAAUGAACCAAACAGAGAUCCUGGCCUGUGUGGACCUCGUAUUCUUAUGGGAGAAGGUGAGAGGUAGGGAGGUGGAUGGUGGAAGAAUGGCUGAGUAAUUGGGUAAAUGGAUGAGAUGUCUGAUGAUAGAUGGAUGGAUGGUGGACAUACAUGGAUGAUUGAUAGGUAAGUAGAUGAUUGGUGAAUGCCUAGACAGAUACAGAGAGGUUGAUAAAUGGAUGACUGACAGGUAGAUAAAUAACGAAUACACAGAUAUGCAGACAGAUGGACAGAGUGUUGUGUGGUUAUAACGGCAGUGGAGACGUAAGUCAGGAUGGGGAACAGGAGGGAUUGUGUAUGAAGAGGUGCCGUAUUUCACAAUUUUACAGAAACAGGAUAAAUGAACCAUACUUCUCACGUUGGGUCUGGCUUCCCCUCCAGAGCAGAGCCUGCAGUCUCUGAGCUGAAGCGUUGGUCUCCUCCACCCACCCUCCCACUCUCAGCCACCCCCCCGCCAUGUGCCUCUCUCCCCCACGCCUUCCUGCCUUUGAAGAGGUGAGGUAAGGUGCACGGGUGAACAGAAAACGCGCCCAAAACCAAGAGAUCACCAUCUCCUGCUACACCCACCUCUCUCAGGCUUUUAUCGAGAGAGAAGAGUGCGAGACAACCACAACCCACCACACUUAUCUCGUAGAGUAGCUGGGAUUGUGAAGAUGGCACAAUCCAAAGGUAAACACAGGGUUUAUCAACCCCGCUGCAGCAUCGUGGAGAGAGAAUGUAGGAAACAGACGCAAUGGUGACUGACGUGGAUCUCCUCUCCCGUGUGGUAACAUGUCAGGCCAAAGCUGGGCUUGCAUCUUCCUGCGAGGAGCGGCCCCGUGUGAUCGUCAGCCAUCGGGCAGCCUCCCUGAAUUUCAGCUUCCUCAUCUAUGAAAUGGAAGGCAGACCCCACUGGCUUCCAUGAGAACUGAAGCUGUAUGAACUCAUGCCUGUGUGCACGUCUGGGUGUGUUGUGUGUUCAGACAGGGCGCCCGCACAGUGGCAUUGACACACGGUGAGGGAAGUGUUCACCGCAGGCUGACAGCACACGGGCACCUCCACAAUCCUGAACUCGACAGGGGCCUCCGAGACACCCACGUGAGUAAGAGAAGGUCUCAAUAUGUGUCAGGGCUUAAGACCUCUGUGAAAUAACGGAGGUUGGAUUUGGGAGCAAAUCCUCCUUGGUUCCAUCCCCACACGUUUUCUGGGUCAAAGCCUCCUUGGAGAAGCAGCAGGGGGCGCCGUGGAGGUGGCACCAGCUUUUCAUUCAGGCUCUCAGCUGUGUCUUUCUCGUUUGCACGGGUGACACUCCCCGAGGCCAUAAAACCUCUCUAGAAAGAAGAGCAGAGCCAGGAGGCCAGGCAGACGGUGACUGAGGAGGAUGCAGAAGUGGCUGAUCACACGAGCCUGUGUGGACCGAGAGAUUCGUUACAGCACGACUUACUCAUAGCCUUUCCUCCACCACGAGCGAGUUCCGAGACUCACAGGCUUUCCUCAACCACCGGGUGAGUUCUGUCAUCCCUUAGACUCCGUUUUUUCUUCUGACACAGGAGACAACAGUCACAACGUCACCUGAUUAUCAUGAGAGCUCCAUGUGACAACAACGUGAGAACGCCGGUGAAGGGCAUUUGAAAAACAAAGGGAUUCACCAAUCGGGUCCAUCACCAGUGACGAACCCCUGCCCUCACCCAUGCCCUGGGAACUACACAAGAAUUCACAGUACUGGUUAUACUCAGGUAACAACAGGGUGGCAAGGAACACAACUAGACGAAACUAAGCCCCCAAAGGAAGGACAUCAUCAUCACAGAUCCAUGAAGAACUGCUCUGAUACCGUGGGAAAAACGGCAUCCCCACAGUUCCCUGAACGGCUCUGAAACCACAGAAAGGACGUCAUCCUCACAGCUCCACGAAGAACUGCUCUGAGUCCACGGGAAGGACGUCAUCCUCACAGCUCCACGAAGAACUGCUCUGAGUCCACGGGAAGGACGUCAUCCUCACAGCUCCACGAAGAACUGCUCUGAGUCCACGGGAAGGACGUCAUCCUCACGGCUCCACGAAGAACUGCUCUGAGACCACAUGAAGGGUGUCAUCCUCACAGCUCCGUGAACGGCUCUGAUACCACAGAAAGGACGUCAUCCUCAUGGCUCCACGAAGAACUGCUCUGAGUCCACGGGAAGGACGUCAUCCUCACGGCUCCACGAAGAACUGCUCUGAGUCCACGUGAAGGGCGUCAUCCUCACGGCUCCACGAAGAACUGCUCUGAGUCCACGGGAAGGGCGUCAUCCUCACGGCUCCACGAAGAACUGCUCUGAGUCCACGGGAAGGGCUCCCACGGCUCCACGAAGAACUGCUUGAGCACAUGAAGGUGUCAUCCUCACAGCUCCGGAACGGCUCUGAUCCACAGAAGGACGUCAUCCUCACGCUCCACGAAGAACUGCUCUGAGUCCACGGGAGUCAUCCUCACGCUCACGAAGAACUGCUCUGAGUCCACGGGAAGGGCGUCAUCCUCACGGCUCCACGAAGAACUGCUCUGAGACCACAUGAAGGGUGUCAUCCUCACAGCUCCGUGAACGGCUCUGAUACCACAGAAAGGACGUCAUCCUCACGGCUCCACGAAGAACUGCUCUGAGUCCACGGGAAGGGCGUCAUCCUCACGGCUCCACGAAGAAUGCUCUGGUCCACGUGAAGGGCGUCUCUCACGGCUCCACGAAGAACUGCUCUGAGUCCGGGAAGGCGUCAUCCUCACGGCUCCACGAAACUGCUCUGAGUCCACGGGAAGGGCGUCAUCCUCACGGCUCCACGAAGAACUGCUCUGAGUCCACGGAAGGCGUCAUCCUCACGCUCCGAAGAACUGCUCUGAGUCCACGGGAAGGGCGUCAUCCUCACGGCUCCACGAAGAACUGCUCUGAGUCCACGGGAAGGGCGUCAUCCUCACGGCUCCACGAAGAACUGCUCUGAGUCCACGGGAAGGGCGUCAUCCUCACGGCUCCACGAAGAACUGCUCUGAGUCCACGGGAAGGGCGUCAUCCUCACGGCUCCACGAAGAACUGCUCUGAGACCACAUGAAGGGUGUCAUCCUCACAGCUCCGUGAACGGCUCUGAUACCACAGAAAGGAUGUCAUCCUACGUCAUCCUCACAGUUCAGUGAAGAACUGCUCUGAGACCACGUGGAGGAUGUCAUCGUCACAGUCCCGUGAAGAACUGCUCUGAGACUGAGCACCAAUCACUAACAGAUGCUUCUUCAGAAAUGGAUCAGUAAUAUUUGAUUGAAAGUAAACUAGAAAUAAAGUUUUAAGUUAACAAAA
Molecule: long non-coding RNA, 3951 nt
Filed under: Macaca mulatta (Rhesus monkey)
Lineage: Eukaryota; Metazoa; Chordata; Mammalia; Primates; Cercopithecidae
Description: lncRNA (ENSMMUG00000052431.1)
Source: RNAcentral